CAGUCGCCACGGUAAUACGUAGGGCGCAAGCGUUAUCCGGAAUUAUUGGGCGUAAAGAGCUCGUAGGCGGUUUGUCGCGUCUGCCGUGAAAGUCCGGGGCUCAACCCCGGAUCUGCGGUGGGUACGGGCAGACUAGAGUGAUGUAGGGGAGACUGGAAUUCCUGGUGUAGCGGUGAAAUGCGCAGAUAUCAGGAGGAACACCGAUGGCGAAGGCAGCUCUCUGGGCAUUAACUGACGCUGAGGAGCGAAAGCAUGGGGAGCGAACAGGAUUAGAUACCCCUGUAGUCCCUGUCUCUUAUAC
This 301-nucleotide ribosomal RNA is filed under the name uncultured bacterium. Its description in RNAcentral is "partial 16S ribosomal RNA". It matches the Rfam family "Bacterial small subunit ribosomal RNA", at positions 509 to 807 of the family's 1533-position model. The record is from RNAcentral.